AAAUGGGCACUGAAAAUGGGGAAAAGAGGGUUUGGGUAGUUUUAUGAAAUUAAAAAAAGUUAAAUUAAUUAGAAAAAAUUAAGAAAAAAAAAAAAUUGAUGAUGAUGAUGGUGGUGAUGAUUAUGAUGUGGAGGGGCCUGAGGCUGCGAUCAACACGUGCUGCUGUCCAGUAUGAUUACGUGGCGAAAUAACAGAAUUCUAUCCACCGUAGGUAGCUUUGACUGAACGGUUACCGACACGUUGGCCAACUUGUCACUGUUACUCUCACCAGCCUAGUAAGCUACGAACUCGUUGUUAUAACGUUGUGGUGUUGGCAUUCGCAGGAACCCGUUUCUGUUUUUUUUUUUUUCUUGAGGGUGAAAUUAAUGAAUAGAUUCUUGCAUAAUAAUUGUGUUUGAUGAAGUUAAUUAAUUGGGGCAUGGGAGUUACAGGAAGGCAAUUAAGGGAGAGAAGAGAAGGAUGAAUUAUGAAUGGGAGAUAGGGAUAGAGAGGACACCACACGUGCACAAGCACGCGCAUAAAAUAAUUGAAGGGUUGGAGGGUCCGAGAUGAAAGGACUAGGUGGGUCCAGGUGGGUCGUGUUAUUAGAAGAAGUAGUAUGGUAAGGUUAUGUGUGUGUGAGAGAGAAGAAGAUUGAAAGAAGGAAAGGGGUGGUGGGUGGGGUAAGGUUAGGGAUUAAGGACGUGCGCAUUAGGUGAGGGUCUAAAUCCUUAAAAGUUAAUAAAUAAAUAAAUAAAUAAAUAAAAGAAAAUAAAAGGGUAUGUUAAUGAAAGUUCUAUGAUUACUAUUAUCUAGUGCUUUUAUCAUGGUGUG
RNAcentral lists this long non-coding RNA (813 nucleotides) under Vigna radiata. RNAcentral describes it as "long non-coding RNA (VRAD_LNC016896)". Lineage: Eukaryota; Viridiplantae; Streptophyta; Magnoliopsida; Fabales; Fabaceae. The record is from RNAcentral.